This 245-nucleotide ribosomal RNA is filed under the name uncultured Pseudomonadota bacterium. Its description in RNAcentral is "uncultured proteobacterium partial 16S ribosomal RNA". It matches the Rfam family "Bacterial small subunit ribosomal RNA", at positions 524 to 768 of the family's 1533-position model. Lineage: Bacteria; Pseudomonadati; Pseudomonadota. The record is from RNAcentral.
UACGGAGGGGGCAAGCGUUGUUCGGAAUCAUUGGGCGUAAAGCGCGCGUAGGCGGUCCGGUUAGUCGGGCGUGAAAGCCCAGGGCUCAACCCUGGAAGUGCGUUCGAUACUGCCAGACUUGAGUGCGGGAGAGGAGAGUGGAAUUCCCAGUGUAGCGGUGAAAUGCGUAGAUAUUGGGAGGAACACCAGUGGCGAAGGCGGCUCUCUGGACCGUAACUGACGCUGAUGUGCGAAAGCUAGGGGAG